AAGAACUCCUAACUCCAAGGGAGGAAGGAGGUGAUGGCCGGAAGAACAUGGCAGAGGGCAAAACAAAACAGCAUUGGGAACAAGCUCUGUUUAAAAGGAGACUUGUGAACAGCAAAGAGUAGAAAGGGUUCUCUUACAACUGAAGCCCAUGGAAGACAAAUGUGUACUGCGUGAGUUUUAAGGCAAUAGGAGUAGUGGGACCUAGGGCACACCAGAGAGCAUAUUAACUCUCAAACUUUUAAAAACAUUAUAUCUGCUGGACACAGUGGCUCACACCUUAAUCCUACAACUUUGGGAGGCCGAGGCGGGCGGGUGUAGCUUGAGCCCAGGAGUUCGAGACCAACCUGGGCAACAUGGCAAAAUCCCGUCCCUACAAAACAAACAAACAAAAAACAAAAUUAGCCAGGCACGGUGAUGCGUACCUGUGGUCCCAGCUACUCAGAGGCUGAGGUGGGAGGAUCGCUUGAGCCCCGGGAGGUUAAGGCUGCAGUGAGCCAUGAUAAUGCCACUGCAUCUCAGCCUGGGCAACAGAGGGAGAACCUGUCUCAAAACAAAAACAAAAACACACCAUACCCAACCACAAUGCAUCUGUCUUAAGUACCAGUACCACACCCCUCUACUCACUACUAAAUAGGUGAGUUCCCAAUCCCUGGUAGCAGGUUUAAGCAUGUUAUAUUAAAGGUCUUAGGCUAGUGACUCAUUCACUCAUUAAACAAAUACUUAUUGUGCAUCUACUAUAAACUAAGUACUGUGCUAGGUACAAAAGCAAAUAAUCUAAGCUCUAUAAACUUUACUUUCUUCAUCAACAAAAUGGAGAUGUUUUAGGCAUCUACUCAUCAUUCUGAGCUCCAUCUUUUGUGACUGUAGUUGGCAGAGCUUUUUAUCAGUUUCUCUAAAUAGCUCUACCAGUCCCUGGUGGAUGCUGGCAUGCCCAAAGGAUCCAUCCUGAUGGCCCUGUCUGCUUACCUUACCUGCCUGCCUUUGCAGCACCGCUCUGCUCUUCUGCAGGACUUCCCUUAUCCUUUGGGGUCUUGCUGCUCUUAGGCUGCUCUGCUUGUUUUGAUCUGCUUUGCAUCACAUGUAUGUAAAGGUCCUUUCCUUAUUUACCCAUGACCAAGGUAUUAUGAGAUUCUGGAAUUUCCCCAAACCACAUUGAUUGCUGGGAGAAUAGAAGAAGUGGAUUACAAGUGGAACUUAGAAGGGGAGUAUUCGAGAAGACGUCUCUGCAAAUCCAUUUAGAGAGACCUUUCUCCAGUGGUGACUCAAAGAUGCAGCUCCUUUCAUCCUGUGGCUUGGCCAUCUUCAGCACAUGGCUCCCAAGGAUGUCCUCAGGAUGGUCUCUAAUCCAAGGAGCCUGAAGAGAAAAAAAGGCAUGGAGUAUUGUGAGUGGUAGGUGGUUAUGGACCAGUUAUGGAAGAAUACACAUCACUUUUGCCCACCUUCUACUAACCAGAACUCACACAGCCAUAGACACUGACAAGUAGGACUUAACAAGAAUCUAAUUUUGAGUCUAGGAAUACGACUGUAGCAAAUAUUUAACAGCUUCAAACACAGGUGCAUUGCUAUCACUAUGCUUGGCCCAGGCCUGUCUCCCUUUCCUGCCAUGUCACAGGGGCCAGCAUUUAUGUCUAGAUUGGGUUGGUUGGGAUAUUAAGACAAUAAUGAACCAAUACAACAUCUUGAGCAUAAAACCAACUGAUACAAUGAUGUACAAGUCAGAUGAUUCUGAUGAUUAUGAAUUAUGUCAAUAAAAGAAAUGUGAUAACUAA
This 1769-nucleotide long non-coding RNA is filed under the name Homo sapiens (human). Its description in RNAcentral is "HSALNT0102826". The record is from RNAcentral. Lineage: Eukaryota; Metazoa; Chordata; Mammalia; Primates; Hominidae.